GUACGGAAGGCAGCAGUGGGGAAUCUUGCGCAAUGGCCGAAAGGCUGACGCAGCGACGCCGCGUGUGGGAGGACGCCCUUCGGGGUGUAAACCACUGUUGCCCGGGACGAACAUCUGGUUUCGACCAGACUGACGGUACCGGGUGAGGAAGCACCGGCUAACUCCGUGCCAGCAGCCGCGGUAAUACGGAGGGUGCGAGCGUUGUCCGGAAUCACUGGGCGUAAAGGGCGCGUAGGCGGCGCGGAUAGUCGGCGGUGAAAGCCCGGAGCUCAACUCCGGGUCGGCCGUCGAUACUUCCGGGCUUGAGCACUGUAGAGGCAGAUGGAAUUCCGGGUGUAGCGGUGGAAUGCGUAGAGAUCCGGAAGAACACCGGUGGCGAAGGCGGUCUGCUGGGCAGUUGCUGACGCUGAUGCGCGACAGCGUGGGGAGCAAACAGGAUUAGAUACCCCGGUAGU
This 455-nucleotide ribosomal RNA is filed under the name uncultured bacterium. Its description in RNAcentral is "bacterial SSU rRNA". It matches the Rfam family "Bacterial small subunit ribosomal RNA", at positions 339 to 794 of the family's 1533-position model. The record is from RNAcentral.